This 499-nucleotide ribosomal RNA is filed under the name uncultured bacterium. RNAcentral's name for it is "bacterial SSU rRNA". It matches the Rfam family "Bacterial small subunit ribosomal RNA", at positions 28 to 575 of the family's 1533-position model. The record is from RNAcentral.
AACGAACGCUGGCGGCAUGCCUAACACAUGCAAGUCGAACGAGACCUUCGGGUCUAGUGGCGCACGGGUGCGUAACGCGUGGGAAUCUGCCCUCAGGUACGGAAUAACUCAGGGAAACUUGAGCUAAUACCGUAUAAUGACUUCGGUCCAAAGAUUUAUCGCCUGGGGAUGAGCCCGCGUCGGAUUAGCUAGUUGGUGAGGUAAAGGCUCACCAAGGCGACGAUCCGUAGCUGGUCUGAGAGGAUGAUCAGCCACACUGGGACUGAGACACGGCCCAGACUCCUACGGGAGGCAGCAGUGGGGAAUAUUGGACAAUGGGCGCAAGCCUGAUCCAGCAAUGCCGCGUGAGUGAUGAAGGCCUUAGGGUUGUAAAGCUCUUUUACCCGGGAAGAUAAUGACUGUACCGGGAGAAUAAGCCCCGGCUAACUCCGUGCCAGCAGCCGCGGUAAUACGGAGGGGCUAGCGUUGUUCGGAAUUACUGGCGUAAAGCGCACGUAGC